GCUCAGUUGGUAAAGCACAAGGCUUUUAACCUUGUGGACGUGGAUUCUAGCCCCAU
RNAcentral lists this transfer RNA (56 nucleotides) under Triticum aestivum (bread wheat). It matches the Rfam family "tRNA", at positions 10 to 63 of the family's 71-position model. Rfam says of the family: Transfer RNA (tRNA) molecules are approximately 80 nucleotides in length. Their secondary structure includes four short double-helical elements and three loops (D, anti-codon, and T loops). RNAcentral also lists the same sequence under 1 other name. Lineage: Eukaryota; Viridiplantae; Streptophyta; Magnoliopsida; Poales; Poaceae. The record is from Rfam by way of RNAcentral.